GAUGAACGCUGGCGGUAUGCUUGACACAUGCAAGUUGAACGCAAAUCUUUUAGGUUCGAGUAGCGAACGGGUGAGUAACACGUGAGAAUCUACCUCUAGGAGGGGCAUAAAAAACCCCAUAUGCCGCAAGGUGAAAUGGAUUUAAUAAUUCGCCUGGAGAUGAGCUCGCGUCUGAUUAGCUAGUUGGUGAGGUAAUAGCUCACCAAGGCCACUAUCAGUAGCUGGUCUGAGAGGACGAACAGCCACACUGGGACUGAGAUACGGCCCAGACUCCUCCGGGAGGCAGCAGUGGGGAAUUUUCCGCAAUGGGCGAAAGCUUGACGGAGCAAUACCGCGUGAUGGAUGAAGGCUCGUGGGUCGUAAACAUCUUUUCCCAAGGAAGAAGCUCUGACGGUACUUGGGGAAUAAGCAUCGGCUAAUUCCGUGCCAG
Molecule: ribosomal RNA, 430 nt
Filed under: uncultured bacterium
Lineage: Bacteria
Description: bacterial SSU rRNA
Rfam family: Bacterial small subunit ribosomal RNA
Source: RNAcentral